This 168-nucleotide unclassified non-coding RNA is filed under the name Beauveria caledonica. RNAcentral's name for it is "partial internal transcribed spacer 2". The record is from RNAcentral. Lineage: Eukaryota; Fungi; Ascomycota; Sordariomycetes; Hypocreales; Cordycipitaceae.
CAACACUCGACUUCCUGGGCCCAGCCCGUGGAAGUCGGCAUUGGGGAUCGGCAGCACACCGCCGGCCCUGAAAUGGAGUGGCGGCCCGUCCGCGGCGACCUCUGCGUAGUAAUUCAACUCGCACUGGAACCCCGACGCGGCCACGCCGUUAAACCCCCAACUUUACAA